AUGGACGGCCGCCGAAGAGGAGAGCGGGAGGUGAACCGGUGGCAUACAGGUCCUGAGGAGGCGCGUGAGAGGGACUCCGGCUCCUCCUCCCCGGCUGCCAUCAUCCUCUUUGCCCUCAUCGGCNNNNNNNNNNNNNNNNNNNNNGUUGGUCAACUGCGCCGCACCUUUGGCUGGUUCUACACUCAGCUUAGCAGAUCAGAACCAUAUGUCUACUGGGAAGACAUACCCCGUGGGCCGAAUAGGUGCGGUGAUGCGUGGCGAUAUUACCGGAGGACGCGUGAGACGAACGAGGAUCAGAGGAAGAGAGUGGAAAGCAUCAUGCACAUGCAAGAUAUGUUCAAGAAGGAGAGAAGUAAAUGCCGGGAUUAUCGGACUCGCAAUGGUCAUAAUCCAACCUAUAAUCAGCAUAGUCGAAGAGAAGACUGGUAUGAAGAUGCAGAAACAUUUUAUGCCAAUCAAAGAACAAAUUUCAGAUCAAGGCCCAGGGAAGCUAUGCAGUACAGUAUGUCACAUCACUAUUCUGUCUUGGGCCUAAACAGGUCAAGACCAGAACCAUUUUCAGAUGCUGAGAUUAAGAAUGCGUUUAGGAGAAAAGCAAUGGAAUACCAUCCAGACCAAAACCAAAACAACAAAGCGGUUGCUGAGGAAAAAUUCAAAGAGGUCAUGGAUUCUUACGAAGCAAUAAAAUUAGAAAGGCAAAAUGGAAGUUGCUGA
This 714-nucleotide ribosomal RNA is filed under the name Triticum aestivum (bread wheat). RNAcentral's name for it is "partial small subunit ribosomal RNA". Lineage: Eukaryota; Viridiplantae; Streptophyta; Magnoliopsida; Poales; Poaceae. The record is from RNAcentral.